RNAcentral lists this ribosomal RNA (268 nucleotides) under uncultured bacterium. RNAcentral describes it as "partial 16S ribosomal RNA". It matches the Rfam family "Bacterial small subunit ribosomal RNA", at positions 1224 to 1500 of the family's 1533-position model. The record is from RNAcentral.
GUUACAAUGGCAGGUACAGAGGGAUGCUACCGGGCGACCGGAUGCGGAUCUCGAAAGCCUGUCCCAGUUCGGACUGGAGUCUGCAACCCGACUCCACGAAGUUGGAUUCGCUAGUAAUCGCGCAUCAGCCAUGGCGCGGUGAAUACGUUCCCGGGCCUUGUACACACCGCCCGUCAAGCCAUGGGAGCCGGGGGCGCCUGAAGUCCGGGACCGCGAGGACCGGCCUAGGGCGAAACUGGUAACUGGGGCUAAGUCGUAACAAGGUAUC